Molecule: non-coding RNA, 46 nt
Filed under: Schistosoma haematobium
Lineage: Eukaryota; Metazoa; Platyhelminthes; Trematoda; Strigeidida; Schistosomatidae
Source: RNAcentral
ACACUACUGAGGAGUCCCACAAUAGGACGAAAUGAUUGUCCAGUGU